This 496-nucleotide ribosomal RNA is filed under the name uncultured bacterium. Its description in RNAcentral is "bacterial SSU rRNA". It matches the Rfam family "Bacterial small subunit ribosomal RNA", at positions 29 to 519 of the family's 1533-position model. The record is from RNAcentral.
AGCGAACGCUGGCGGCGCGCCUAAUACAUGCAAGUCGAGCGAGAAGACGUAGCAAUACGUUUGUAAAGCGGCGAACGGGUGAGGAAUACAUGGGUAACCUACCCUAGAGUGGGGAAUAACUAGCCGAAAGGUUAGCUAAUACCGCGUACGCUCCUUGGACUUCGGUUCAGGGAGGAAAGCGAUACCGAGGGUAUCGCGCUCUUGGAUGGGCUCAUGUCCUAUCAGCUUGNGGUGAGGUAACGGCUCACCAAGGCUUCGACGGGUAGCUGGUCUGAGAGGACGAUCAGCCACACUGGCACUGCGACACGGGCCAGACUCCUACGGGAGGCAGCAGUAAGGAAUAUUGCGCAAUGGGCGAAAGCCUGACGCAGCGACGCCGCGUGGGGGAUGAAGGUCUUCGGAUUGUAAACCCCUUUCGGGAGGGAAGAUGGAACGAGCAAUCGUUCGGACGGUACCUCCAGAAGCAGCCACGGCUAACUUCGUGCCAGCAGCCGCA